This 390-nucleotide long non-coding RNA is filed under the name Pongo abelii (Sumatran orangutan). RNAcentral describes it as "lincRNA". The record is from RNAcentral. Lineage: Eukaryota; Metazoa; Chordata; Mammalia; Primates; Hominidae.
UAGGGCAUCACGAACCAUCCUGCUUCAAGGGAGCCUGCGGGUCUGACUGCAGCUUCAGCUCUGACCUGGAGUUCUGGGGCUUCUCUGCGGGGCACCAGUCUGUAUGCUCCAUUUUAGAUAAUAAAAAUCGGCAUAUUCUGUGGUGGGCAGGAUCCGGGGUUCACCUGCAGAUGAACAGGGCAGGAAAAGCUUGAUGGGGUGUCGGGGGAAUCUGGUUGGCCUUAAAGGGAAUUAAUUUGGGGCCCUGUUCCUGAAUUGGUAGGUAGCCUGCAUGUAAGGCUGAAGUCGGUUUGGCCAGAGCAUGGGCUGGAGUGCUACCACCCUGCUACACAGACAAUGCCACAGUCUCGCUUUUCCUAUUUUUUUUUAAAUAAAAUGUUGUGAACAACA